Molecule: non-coding RNA, 97 nt
Organism: Colinus virginianus (northern bobwhite)
Lineage: Eukaryota; Metazoa; Chordata; Aves; Galliformes; Odontophoridae
Source: Rfam
GUGGAAUUUUAAAGAGAGGCCAGAAACCUCCCGUGGAGCAGAAGGGCAAAAGCUCGCUUGAUCUUGAUUUUCAGUACGAAUACAGACCGUGAAAGCG